GAUGAANGCUGGCGGCGUGCCUAAUACAUGCAAGUAGAACGCUGAAGCUUGGUGCUUGCACCGAGCGGAUGAGUUGCGAACGGGUGAGUAACGCGUAGGUAACCUGCCUCUUAGCGGGGGAUAACUAUUGGAAACGAUAGCUAAUACCGCAUAAAAGUCAAUAUCGCAUGAUAUUGAUUUGAAAGGUGCAAAUGCAUCACUAAGAGAUGGACCUGCGUNNNAUUAGCUAGUUGGUGAGGUAACGGCUCACCAAGGCGACGAUACAUAGCCGACCUGAGAGGGUGAUCGGCCACACUGGGACUGAGACACGGCCCAGACUCCUACGGGAGGCAGCAGUAGGGAAUCUUCGGCAAUGGGGGCAACCCUGACCGAGCAACGCCGCGUGAGUGAAGAAGGUUUUCGGAUCGUAAAGCUCUGUUGUAAGAGAAGAACGAGUGUGAGAGUGGAAAGUUCACACUGUGACGGUAACUUACCAGAAAGGGACGGCUAACUACGUGCCANCNNCCGCNNNAANACUUNNNUNCCCAGCGUNNUCCGGAUUUAUUGNNC
Molecule: ribosomal RNA, 549 nt
Filed under: uncultured Streptococcus sp.
Lineage: Bacteria; Bacillati; Bacillota; Bacilli; Lactobacillales; Streptococcaceae
Description: partial 16S ribosomal RNA
Rfam family: Bacterial small subunit ribosomal RNA
Source: RNAcentral